CCUACGGGUGGCAGCAGUGGGGAAUAUUGGACAAUGGGCGAAAGCCUGAUCCAGCCAUGCCGCGUGUGUGAAGAAGGCCUUCGGGUUGUAAAGCACUUUCAGUGGGGAAGAAAGCCUUGGGGCUAAUACCCUCGAGGAAGGACAUCACCCACAGAAGAAGCACCGGCUAACUCCGUGCCAGCAGCCGCGGUAAUACGGAGGGUGCGAGCGUUAAUCGGAAUUACUGGGCGUAAAGCGCGCGUAGGCGGUCUGAUAAGCCGGUUGUGAAAGCCCCGGGCUCAAUCUGGGAACGGCAUCCGGAACUGUCAGGCUAGAGUGCAGGAGAGGAAGGUAGAAUUCCCGGUGUAGCGGUGAAAUGCGUAGAGAUCGGGAGGAAUACCAGUGGCGAAGGCGGCCUUCUGGACUGACACUGACGCUGAGGUGCGAAAGCGUGGGUAGCAAACAGGAUUAGAUACCCGUGUAGUC
This 465-nucleotide ribosomal RNA is filed under the name Vreelandella stevensii. RNAcentral describes it as "partial 16S ribosomal RNA". It matches the Rfam family "Bacterial small subunit ribosomal RNA", at positions 338 to 795 of the family's 1533-position model. Lineage: Bacteria; Pseudomonadati; Pseudomonadota; Gammaproteobacteria; Oceanospirillales; Halomonadaceae. The record is from RNAcentral.